This 87-nucleotide transfer RNA is filed under the name Escherichia coli. RNAcentral describes it as "tRNA-Leu". It matches the Rfam family "tRNA". From Rfam's summary of the family: Transfer RNA (tRNA) molecules are approximately 80 nucleotides in length. Their secondary structure includes four short double-helical elements and three loops (D, anti-codon, and T loops). Lineage: Bacteria; Pseudomonadati; Pseudomonadota; Gammaproteobacteria; Enterobacterales; Enterobacteriaceae. RNAcentral also lists the same sequence under 2 other names. The record is from RNAcentral.
GCGAAGGUGGCGGAAUUGGUAGACGCGCUAGCUUCAGGUGUUAGUGUCCUUACGGACGUGGGGGUUCAAGUCCCCCCCGUCGCACCA